CCUGACGCAGCGACGCCGCGUGAGUGAUGAAGGCUUUCGGGUCGUAAAGCUCUGUCAAGUGGGAAGAACCCGCUCCGUACAAAUAGUUCGGGGCGCUGACGGUACCACUGAAGGAAGCACCGGCUAACUCCGUGCCAGCAGCCGCGGUAAUACNNGGGGUGCAAGCGUUAUUCGGAUUCAUUGGGCGUAAAGAGCGNGUAGGCGGUCUUUUAUGUCAGGUGUGAAAGCCCGGGGCUUAACCUCGGAAGUGCACUUGAAACUGAAAGACUUGAGUAUGGGAGAGGGAAGUGGAAUUCCUGGUGUAGCGGUGAAAUGCGUAGAUAUCAGGAGGAACACCGGUGGCGAAGGCGACUUCCUGGACCAAUACUGACGCUGAGGCGCGAAGGCGUGGGGAGCAAACAGGAUUAGAUACCCUGGUAGUCCACGCAGUAAACGUUGAACACUAGGUGUAGCGGGUAUCGACCCUUGCUGUGCCGCAGUUAACGCAUUAAGUGUUCCGCCUGGGGAGUAC
This 511-nucleotide ribosomal RNA is filed under the name unidentified sulfate-reducing bacterium. RNAcentral's name for it is "bacterial SSU rRNA". It matches the Rfam family "Bacterial small subunit ribosomal RNA", at positions 382 to 883 of the family's 1533-position model. The record is from RNAcentral.